UACGUAGGGUGCAAGCGUUGUCCGGAAUUAUUGGGCGUAAAGAGCUCGUAGGCGGUCUGUCGCGUCUGCUGUGAAAACUCAGGGCUUAACCCUGAGCUUGCAGUGGGUACGGGCAGACUAGAGUGCGGUAGGGGAGACUGGAAUUCCUGGUGUAGCGGUGAAAUGCGUAGAUAUCGGAAGGAACACCAGUGGCGAAAGCGGCUUCCUGGUCCAGCACCGACGUCAGGCACGAAAGCGUGGGGAGCAAACAGG
RNAcentral lists this ribosomal RNA (252 nucleotides) under uncultured bacterium. RNAcentral's name for it is "partial 16S ribosomal RNA". It matches the Rfam family "Bacterial small subunit ribosomal RNA", at positions 524 to 776 of the family's 1533-position model. The record is from RNAcentral.